CUGAGGAGCUGCAGCCAGGAAGUGAUUUACAGGAGAAACGACUCCAAACAUCAAAACAGCUGCUGAUUCAUUUCCUGUCAGUCGACUAAUCGACUCAGCUGAACUUGUAUAAACUGUUGGGUGUGACCAUAUGGACAUGUGGAGAGUCUGACCCUGAGUCAUCACACAACAGUAGGGUCAGUCCUGCCCCCCCACACCAGAAGGUCUCAGGUUCGAUUCCCACAACAUGUCUGUUAAAGGUCUCUAAAUAUAUAAAUAAAUAAAUAAAUAAAUAAAUAAAAUAGAGUUAAACAUGAUAAAAUGAUGAUUUAAAGUAAGAUAGUAAAAUAAACGUAAAGAUUAUGAAUCUGACCAGACAAUCAAUGCCAACGUUUUCAGUGCUUGACCCAGCACUAUAUGUUUGAGAAAUAGAAAAGAUCCUUUUUGUUUGUUGAGCAAAAGACGUCAAAGUUGUCAAAUGAAUUUAAAAGCAACAAAGUUUUUGAUUUGAAUCAAAAACUAUCAGAUGAACAAAUCAGUCAACAACAUUGUGAAUCUCAGAUGUUUGAUGUCGACAUUUAUUACCUCAUAGUUUUCUAAACUUGGUGCUACAGACACGUUUGGGUCGGUGCUCGAGCUAGACCGAUAAAUGGGUCAGGUCGCUAAAUCAUCAGAUAUCAGCUCAUUGCAGGUAGUUUAUCAGUAUCGGUGUUUAUGUCAGCUGAUAAAUGAGAACUGCCAAACUAAGUUUGAGGUCAUUUAGUGAAAGUUUGUCCACCAGAGCUCUGGCAGGUUGAUGUUUCCACUGUAAGAUCCUCUGUGAUUGUUUGUUACGUGUUUUAUGUUUCUGAUUUUUUAAAAUUUUAUUUCCAAAUAUCAACAUCAGUGUCAGCCUCAAAAUCCAGCAUCAGUCAGGGCUGCAGUUGGAUACGGAGUUUAAUUUACGAUGUUUUGUAACCCUUAAAAUAAAGAGGGUACAGCAGAGAGAUGCAAUAUCACAUUAACAUUGUGCAGUCCCAGGAAGGGAUGGGUGAAAUGGCCAAAAUCUUCUACCAAGGUAUGUGUAAUUUUACACCAUGGUAACAGUAUAUAUCAUGAUACAGUAAUUGUUCUGUAAAUUCAGUUAAGAAAUGGUUUAAAAUAACCGUACCGUACUUCAUCACAUUAGAUUAUUUUCUUUUAUUAGGAGCUUCUGUACAAACAGCAGCAGCCUCUCAUGAAAAACAAAAGACUCAAUCAAAACCGUAAUGGAAGCUUUAAGGAUCCAAAUACCAACAAUCAUUUCAAGUGGCCAAGCGGCAACCUCCGGGGCUGAAAACUGAAGCCAACAGGAAGUGCCAAGAACUGCAGUUCCUCGAAUGGCCACUUGAGGCUGCCUCCAAAAGCAAGUCAGUCCCCACAGAGCCCCGUGUUAAAAUGCCCAACUGUACAGCAGAAAUAAACGUUUACAGCCUGGUACAAAAAACGCUUUGGGUGACAUCAUCUACACUCGUGUGUCUCGCUUUCGUGGCGUCACACUCAUCGUCCGUAAAAGUCAACCAUGGCGAAACGAACCAUUGACAAAUUUUUUCCAUCGGCGGCUCCUCCUGUACCAGAGCCAGGCCCGUCGCAGCAGCAAAUGGCAGAGUUGGUCAGAUGAGGCCGUGGCGAAAAAGGCAAGAACACACUGUUUCCGACAGGGGCGGCUCAGGGAGUUUACGUGGCUUAGAUUUAGCAAAAACAGCAGCGCCAUGAACCAUCUACUGCACCAGAUGUGGUCCACAACAUGCGGGGAAACCAGGUUUGCCGAGGCAACUGGCACCGCACAGUUUAAACACGACACCUUAAUGAAGCACAGCAGCAGCAAAUGCACACAAUACACAAAUGAAACGGCAUCGCCACUUGCAGUAGCAUUUCUCAUUCAGUCAUCCGAUGAGGCUGAAAUGGUAGUGAAAUUCAGCGCGGCCUAUUUCAUAGCUAAGCACGAGCUACCGUUCGCCAAAUUCAGGGGUCACGUUGAAUUGUUGAAAAAGAACGGCGUAAAAGUGAAUCCUACGCGCAGUAAGGACACCGCACGUGGGCAGUUCAUUGGCGCUGUUGCAGAUUCACUCAAACAGAAGACCCGUGAAGAUCAAGGACGCCACAUACCUCUCAUUCAUGAUCGAUGGCGGCACGGAUGUUUCAACUAAAGAAUGUGAAACAAUGUACGAAAGGAUCCUGCGACGAAUAUUUUGAUUGGCCACGUGGAAGUCCAGCGUGCACGUGCUCAAGGUACGUAACUGAUAAAGCAAAUAAUUAGAGUGCAGUUUAGUGCUUACUCAGAAUAACAGUCACGUGAAAGACUACACUAAUGAAGCCGUUUCUGUGCUGUCAGGUUUGGUUUUUAGCCUAAAUGAAAUAUGUAUCGUUUGUAGACGCCACAACGAUCAAACUGUUCAGUGAGAUGACGGGAGAAAGAAAGGGUUCCUGUCUGCUGGUGGGUUUGGUGUACAGUGAAUACCGUUCAGAUCAACUUUAGCUGUGCACAGUUAUAGAUAACGUGUUAUUUCAAGGAGUCUAUGAUGCCACCAAAGAGGCCUUUCGCCAUCUAGGGACAGAGACAGGAGACAGGCUGGUUAGAGAAGACAGUCGCCAUGGGAGCUGCAGUCAGUCUUGGGCGUCAGGGAGGUGUAAUAUCCCUCCUCCAAGCUUUUACUGUCCCGUUCCAUUGCACAUAGAUUGGAACUGCUGUCCGUCCAAAGUCCCCACUGUUGACCGAGUCUACAGUCUCUGUAACAUGGUAUGGAAGAUGUCCCGCUACAUGCGUGAGUGCGCUCAGAGCCCUCGGAGAGGAGCUGGCGUGCGCGUCAGUGCCUCGGUGGUGUUAGUGGGACACGCUGGCGCCCACAUGUAACCCGGGCCCUGCAAACCUUACUGAGACCUGGAGGAAAGGGCCGGAGCCUACAGAACCCGGGACAGUUCACAGCAGUCUGCUUCCACAUGGAACGUUUGACUGCAUCGUCGAGCAAGGAAGGUCUGUAUUUAACUUUUAAAAUCAGUUCAUAUUUCGGAUCUGUAAACACGGCUGAUAUUUUGCUUAUGUCCUGCGGGGCAAGAGGAUGAUGGAAGAUGGAACCUUUUGUAGGUUUCUGUGACUUCCUGGCCGACUCGUUUGAGGCCAUCAGCAAAUUCAGCCUUCUCCUUCACAGGAAUGACACCAUCUUGCCUCAGGAAAGUGUUUCAGCGGGAUUGAACAUGUGGUAGGCUGGCAGAGCUCAGGCCCAGAAACAAAGGCAGGGCGAUGAUGGUGAGACUCACCCCAUCUACAAAUAUCAGAUGAAGAGUCCACAGCAACUGCAACCUUAAAGGCAGUGAAGUCAUUCAAGAUCUUCAGUCCUGAUUCAUGACAGACCAUCUGGACUUCCUGCUGGACCACUUCUCCACCGUGUUAACAAGGUCACUGACUCUUUAAAUCAUCCUGGCGGAGCAUGUAAAAGGCAGUAUAACAAAGAACACAAUGUCACACACCUAACUCCAUCCUACAGAAGCUUCGAUUGUUUCUUGAUCUUAACUCCUUAACGGCUGUGACACCAGUCUGGCCAGAGAGGAGUAUCAGUCUAUGGAGAUCUCCAGAAACUACAUCCUACCAGGCCAUAUUGCCGUUCUGCUCUAGAAGGUACAAACCCCGUCUCCUCUGCUGUGUGUGAACGGGGAUUUUCAGCACAGAAGAGGAUUAAAUCUGAUGUCAGAGGGCCCCUGCAUGCAGCCACAGCGGAGGACCUCGUUAGAAUAAGUAUGGAGGGACCUAGCUUGGACGAGUUGGACACCAAGGAGGCUGGACAGACCUGGUUCAGUCAGGGCAAAAGACGAAGGAGGAAGGAGAGGCUCGGGCUGUUGACUUGUUCUGACGCUGUAAUGUGUAAAGUGACCGCUGACCUCAUGUUUACAUGUAAUGUCUUUGUUUUGGUUUGCACUGUAAUGUCAGUAAUAAUACUGUGUGCACAUUUCUGAAUGUGCAUUUGUUAAGCACCAUUCAAUUAAAAUGUGACAAAACAGCA
Molecule: long non-coding RNA, 3995 nt
Organism: Siniperca chuatsi (mandarin fish)
Lineage: Eukaryota; Metazoa; Chordata; Actinopteri; Centrarchiformes; Sinipercidae
Exons: 4
Source: RefSeq, a predicted model, not a curated record